CCAAUAGCGUAUAUUAAAGUUGUUGCAGUUAAAAAGCUCGUAGUUGAACUUCGGGGUCUACCCAUUGGUCAGGCUUAAUUGUCUGCACUGGUGAGAUGGAUCUCUACCUUCUGAGGAACUUUCAUGUCAUUUAUUUGGUGUGAUGGGAAAUCAGGACUGUUACUUUGAAAAAAUUAGAGUGUUUAAAGCAGACUAUCGUCUGAAUACAUUAGCAUGGAAUAAUGAAAUAGGACGGACUGAUUCUAUUUCGUUGGUUUCUAGGAUCACCGUAAUGAUUAAUAGGGAUAGUUGGGGGCAUUAGUAUUCAAUUGUCAGAGGUGAAAUUCUUGGAUUUAUUGAAGACUAACUACUGCGAAAGCAUUUGCCAAGGAUGUUUUCAUUAAUCAAGAACGAAAGUUAGGGGAUCGAAGACGAUCAGAUACCGUCGUAGUCUUAACCAUAAACUAUGCCGACUAGGGAUCGGACGAAGUUAAUUUUAUAAUGACGCGUUCGGCACCUUACG
This 502-nucleotide ribosomal RNA is filed under the name uncultured Glomeromycotina. RNAcentral describes it as "partial small subunit ribosomal RNA". It matches the Rfam family "Eukaryotic small subunit ribosomal RNA", at positions 591 to 1092 of the family's 1831-position model. The record is from RNAcentral. Lineage: Eukaryota; Fungi; Glomeromycota.